GAACUUAAGCAUAUCAAUAAGCGGAGGAAAAGAAACCAACAGGGAUUGCCUUAGUAACGGCGAGUGAAGCGGCAACAGCUCAAAUUUGAAAUCUGGCUCUUUUAGAGUCCGAGUUGUAAUUUGUAGAAGAUGCUUUGGGUGUAGCUCCGGUCUAAGUUCCUUGGAACAGGACGUCAUAGAGGGUGAGAAUCCCGUAUGUGACUGGGUGCUUUCGCUCGUGUAAAGCUCUUUCGACGAGUCGAGUUGUUUGGGAAUGCAGCUCAAAAUGGGUGGUAAAUUUCAUCUAAAGCUAAAUAUUGGCCAGAGACCGAUAGCGCACAAGUAGAGUGAUCGAAAGAUGAAAAGCACUUUGGAAAGAGAGUUAAACAGUACGUGAAGUUGUUGAAAGGGAAGCGCUUGCAAUCAGACUUGCGCGCUGUUGAUCAUCCGAGCUUUUGCCCGGUGCACUCGGCAGCGUUCAGGCCAGCAUCGGUUUUGGUGGGCGGAUAAAGGCCUUGGGAAUGUAGCUUCUUUCGGGGGGUGUUAUAGCCCUCGGUGCAAUGCGCCCUACCAGGACCGAGGACCGCGCUUCGGCUAGGAUGCUGGCGUAAUGGUUGUAAGCGACCCGUCUUGAAACACGGACCAAGGAGUCUAACAUCUAUGCGAGUGUUUGGGUGUCAAACCCAUACGCGUAAUGAAAGUGAACGGAGGUGAGAACCCUUAAGGGUGCAUCAUCGACCGAUCCUGAUGUCUUCGGAUGGAUUUGAGUAAGAGCAUAGCUGUUGGGACCCGAAA
RNAcentral lists this ribosomal RNA (774 nucleotides) under uncultured fungus. Its description in RNAcentral is "eukaryotic LSU rRNA". It matches the Rfam family "Eukaryotic large subunit ribosomal RNA", at positions 30 to 821 of the family's 3401-position model. The record is from RNAcentral. Lineage: Eukaryota; Fungi.